GGCCAUUGGGCAUCCAUUGGGUGCAACAGGUGCCCGUUGUGUUGCUACUCUGUUGCACGAGAUGAAGCGUCGUGGCAAAGACUGUCGUUUUGGAGUUAUUUCAAUGUGCAUAGGGACGGGAAUGGGCGCAGCGGCAGUUUUCGAGAGGGGCGAUGUGGCUGACGAGUUAUGCAAUGCUCGGAAGGUUGAUAACCACAAUCUACUGUCCAAGGAUGUUUUAUAGAGAAGAUUGCCAUGUGCUGCUAUACAGCUAAAUAAUUUUAUUUCUUCCAAUAAGAUAGUAAUAAAUAAGUUUUUAUUGUUCUUUGAGAACUCGAUCAUAUGUUUGUUAAUUUAUCUUAAUGAUGGAGGGACAUAAAUGUGUGAUAUGCACAAACAUUUUAGCUUUGUUACUGGGCCAUUGGUCUCUUUAAAGUUGAGAAAAU
Molecule: unclassified non-coding RNA, 425 nt
Filed under: Hevea brasiliensis (rubber tree)
Lineage: Eukaryota; Viridiplantae; Streptophyta; Magnoliopsida; Malpighiales; Euphorbiaceae
Source: RNAcentral